Mauremys mutica (yellowpond turtle) is the source of this 396-nucleotide non-coding RNA. NCBI's taxonomy places the organism in Eukaryota, Metazoa, Chordata, Testudines, Geoemydidae. The record is from the annotation of a RefSeq genome assembly.
AUGAGGCUUUGGUUGUAUCUCGUUCUCACUGCAGCAUGUCUGGAAGGUGCCCGGUCCCAGGUGCAGCUGGUGGAGUCCGGAGGGGAUGUGAAAAAGCCCGGAGACUCUCUCCGCCUCUCCUGCAAAGCCUCCGGAUUCACCUUCAGCGAUUACUACAUGAGCUGGGUCCGCCAGGCCCCCGGGAAGGGGCUGGAGUGGGUCGCCCGUAUCAGCAGCGGCAGUGGGAGUAGCACAUACUACGCUGAUGCAGUUAAAGGGCGAUUCACCAUCUCCAGGGACAAUCCCAGCAACCUGCUGUACCUGCAAAUGACCGGCCUGAAGCCCGAGGACACCGCCCGCUAUUACUGUGCGAGACAAGAACCCUGGGACUGGAAGGGACCUGGAGAAGUAAUCUAG